GAGUUUGAUCAUGGCUCAGAGCGAACGCUGGCGGCAGGCUUAACACAUGCAAGUCGAACGCUCGUAGCAAUACGGGAGUGGCAGACGGGUGAGUAACGCGUGGGAAUCUACCUAGCUCUUCGGAAUAGCUCCGGGAAACUGGAAUUAAUACCGAGUACGCCCUACGGGGGAAAGAUUUAUCGGGGUUAGAUGAGCCCGCGUUGGAUUAGCUAGUUGGUGGGGUAAUGGCCUACCAAGGCAACGAUCCAUAGCUGGUCUGAGAGGAUGAUCAGCCACACUGGGACUGAGACACGGCCCAGACUCCUACGGGAGGCAGCAGUGGGGAAUAUUGGACAAUGGGCGAAAGCCUGAUCCAGCCAUGCCGCGUGAGUGAUGAAGGCCUUAGGGUUGUAAAGCUCUUUUGUCCGGAACGAAACGGCUAGCGUGAAUAUCGCUGGCUACUGACGGUACCGGAAGAAUAAGCACCGGCUAACUACGUGCCAGCCGCCGCAGUAAG
Molecule: ribosomal RNA, 496 nt
Filed under: uncultured Alphaproteobacteria bacterium
Lineage: Bacteria; Pseudomonadati; Pseudomonadota; Alphaproteobacteria
Description: bacterial SSU rRNA
Rfam family: Bacterial small subunit ribosomal RNA
Source: RNAcentral